This is a long non-coding RNA of Schistocerca gregaria, 396 nucleotides long. RefSeq lists it as uncharacterized. Lineage: Eukaryota; Metazoa; Arthropoda; Insecta; Orthoptera; Acrididae. The record is from RefSeq and is a predicted model, not a curated record. The transcript is spliced from 3 exons.
CAAAGAAUCAUAACGCCAAGAAUCGAGGCGGACGGUAGCCGAGAUACGAUAUAUUGCCAGAGAGAAACCGCUUCUCAGUCAGUAUGAUGGACAAAUACGUGCUUCUCUUUACUUUUCUUGCUGUCUGGGCGUUUAUGGGAUCUACAGUCCUCUCGGCGCCUCCGCUAUCUACGGAAGAAUCGCAGAAAUGCUUUGACUGUAUCUUGGCGUUCUUUGAAGACUUCGUAAGUGCCUUGAAGAAUCUAACGAGGGCUAGCUGAUGAUGGGACCACCUACAUGCAGUUCGCUUGGAGACAAAUCAGUGUCAACACGAGGAUGGCUAUAACUCCUUUACUAUUCUAAAAGUCUCUAAGACGAACUUCUGAAAUUGUUAUAGAAUAAAAUACAUCACUUUUA